GCGCAGCAGUCGCGAAACUUCACACUGUGCGAAAGCACGAUGAGGGAAUCCCAAGUGCUUGCACGUAAGUGUAAGCUGUUUCUCUGUCUAAAACGCAGAGAGAGUAAGGGCUGGGUAAGACGGGUGCCAGCCGCCGCGGUAAUACCUGCAGCUCAAGUGGUGACCGUUAUUAUUGGGCCUAAAACGUCCGUAGCCGGUUUAAUAAAUGCCUGGGUAAAUUGUGUAGCUUAACUAUACGAAUUCCGGGUAGACUGUUAAACUUGAGACCGGGAGAAGUUAGAGGUACUCCUAGGGUAGAGGUGAAAUUCUGUAAUCCUAGGGGGACCACCAGUGGCGAAGGCGUCUAACUAGAACGGGUCUGACGGUGAGGGACGAAGCCCUGGGGCGCAAAC
RNAcentral lists this ribosomal RNA (392 nucleotides) under uncultured microorganism. RNAcentral's name for it is "bacterial SSU rRNA". It matches the Rfam family "Archaeal small subunit ribosomal RNA", at positions 330 to 724 of the family's 1478-position model. The record is from RNAcentral.